UACAAACUUCUGUUGUGAGUGGCACACAUAGGACAACUCGACUGCCCUUUGAGUGGAAUCGACAUUAAGAGAUUUCAGAAGCAUAAUUUUUUGGUAUUUGGGCUGCUGGUGAUGGUUGGUCCUGGUGCCCUU
Molecule: small nuclear RNA, 132 nt
Organism: Prolemur simus (greater bamboo lemur)
Lineage: Eukaryota; Metazoa; Chordata; Mammalia; Primates; Lemuridae
Source: Ensembl